CUUGAGAUUCUGUUUCCUUGUCUUUUUUCUUGGAAAUUGUUUUAUCCCUAGUGUGAUGUAAUUGGAUCCCUAAUUGAUGUGGCAAUUUUUUUUUCUUACCUGACUCUGGUUCUAGUUUAUCUGUGCUGGCCUCCCAUAAAUAUAGUCCACAAAUUCUAGUUUGGGAGGUUUCACUUGUAAUCAUUGUCUAUGCUCAUGGCUGUCCAUUGUCCAGCUAUACAAAUGUGGGGGAAAUUUUCAAAUCUUUCUAGAGUUAGGUUGGCUUGUUUUGGCAACAGGCUGUUGCCAGGGAUCUCACAAAUCUCAUUCAAUGCCACCUCAGAGCAAAACUUGCAACUUUCAACAGCCUUCCUAUUCAUCCAAAA
Long non-coding RNA from Populus nigra (black poplar), 365 nucleotides. RefSeq lists it as uncharacterized. Lineage: Eukaryota; Viridiplantae; Streptophyta; Magnoliopsida; Malpighiales; Salicaceae. The transcript is spliced from 2 exons. The record is from RefSeq and is a predicted model, not a curated record.